GGCCGGUUAGCUCAGUCAGUUGAGCGUGGUGCUAACAAUGCCACGGUCACGAGUUCGAUUCCCGUUCGGUCC
Molecule: transfer RNA, 72 nt
Filed under: Apaloderma vittatum (bar-tailed trogon)
Lineage: Eukaryota; Metazoa; Chordata; Aves; Trogoniformes; Trogonidae
Rfam family: tRNA
About the family: Transfer RNA (tRNA) molecules are approximately 80 nucleotides in length.
Source: Rfam by way of RNAcentral